This 524-nucleotide ribosomal RNA is filed under the name uncultured Caulobacteraceae bacterium. RNAcentral's name for it is "bacterial SSU rRNA". It matches the Rfam family "Bacterial small subunit ribosomal RNA", at positions 374 to 916 of the family's 1533-position model. Lineage: Bacteria; Pseudomonadati; Pseudomonadota; Alphaproteobacteria; Caulobacterales; Caulobacteraceae. The record is from RNAcentral.
GGCGAAAGCCUGACGCAGCCAUGCCGCGUGAAUGAUGAAGGUCUUAGGAUUGUAAAAUUCUUUCACCGGGGAAGAUAAUGACGGUACCCGGAGAAGAAGCCCCGGCUAACUUCGUGCCAGCAGCCGCGGUAAUACGAAGGGGGCUAGCGUUGCUCGGAAUUACUGGGCGUAAAGGGCGCGUAGGCGGAUAGUUUAGUCAGAGGUAAAAGCCCAGGGCUCAACCUUGGAACUGCCUUUGAUACUGGCUAUCUUGAGUUCGGGAGAGGUGAGUGGAAUGCCGAGUGUAGAGGUGAAAUUCGUAGAUAUUCGGCGGAACACCAGUGGCGAAGGCGACUCACUGGCCCGAUACUGACGCUGAGGCGCGAAAGCGUGGGGAGCAAACAGGAUUAGAUACCCUGGUAGUCCACGCUGUAAACGAUGAGUGCUAGUUGUCGGCAUGCAUGCAUGUCGGUGACGCAGCUAACGCAUUAAGCACUCCGCCUGGGGAGUACGGUCGCAAGAUUAAAACUCAAAGGAAUUGACGG